Olea europaea var. sylvestris is the source of this 859-nucleotide long non-coding RNA. RefSeq lists it as uncharacterized. NCBI's taxonomy places the organism in Eukaryota, Viridiplantae, Streptophyta, Magnoliopsida, Lamiales, Oleaceae. The record is from RefSeq and is a predicted model, not a curated record. The transcript is spliced from 6 exons.
CAUACCUAAUGGCCGAGACAUGAUUUUUCCCUUAUAAAACUUGAAAUGCAAAGCUAGGGCUCUUUUGCACUUUGGGCCUCACAAGAAGGUCAUUUUGAAUAAAACGUAACCCAUUUGGAAAAAAUACAUCGAAAAUAGACGUCGUUACAUUUUAUAGUUUUGUUCUCCCGUUGCCGAUCUAUGCUGAACAUUCAGUGAGAUUUCUGUUUGUUUAUUUAGAUAUAUUUUCAUUUAUUGACAAAGAGCUAUGUUCCGGGAGAGAGCUAAAAGAGUCUUAUUGUCUUCGGCUAAAGAGAACAUUGAGAAUAUCAAGAAAGCCGUAGAUGAAGGCAAUCACUAUGGGGCUCAACAGAUGUACAAGUCCUUUAGUGUGAGGUAAUUCUUUCUUUAUCAAGGACAGAUAUAUUGCGGCCAAGAGGUAUUUGGAUGCCUUGAAUAUUCUGCAAUCCGGUGCUUGCGUGCAAUUAGAAAAUGGACAGGCUAACCUUUUUCUGCAAAACAAUGACAAUGGAGUCUAGAUAUUGAUACUGACGUUUGGCUAUAUAUGCUUCUAGCAUGGAGCUAUGAGAGCUUACAUGUGGGGCUGAGCUUGUCGUCUUGUUUGUAGAAGCACUUGUUAAAGGAAAAUUUCCUUAUGAUGAUGAUAUUGUUGAUCGUAUCAUGAAAAUCUAUAAAAAAUUUCCUCGCGUACUAGUACCACAACAUUUGGAUACGGCUGAUGAUGAUGACAUGCAACAACUCCAAGAAGCUUUUGGAGCUGCAACAACACGUGUAGAGAGUUGUUCGUCUUUUUUGAAGACUGCUAUUAAGUGAGAUAUUCUUUUCCAAUUUCUCUCUUUUCUCGCCUUAUUUUUCUAUU